GAGGACCGAUAAGGGGGUGCUUACACAUGCAAGUCGAACGGUCUUUCUUAGGAAAGAUAGUGGCGGACGGGUGAGUCAACACGUAGUUGACCUGCCCCCUUGUGGGGAAUAACUCCUCCAAAGAGGAGCUAAUACCGCAUAAGUUCUUCUAUACAGGUAGAAGAGGAAAGAACCCUGUGAAAGUAGGGGGCGCCAGGGGAGGGGACUGCGGCGGAUUAGCUAGAUGGUGGGGUAAAGGCCCACCAUGGCG
Molecule: ribosomal RNA, 250 nt
Filed under: uncultured Terriglobales bacterium
Lineage: Bacteria; Pseudomonadati; Acidobacteriota; Terriglobia; Terriglobales
Description: uncultured Acidobacteriales bacterium partial 16S ribosomal RNA
Rfam family: Bacterial small subunit ribosomal RNA
Source: RNAcentral